Long non-coding RNA from Oncorhynchus tshawytscha (Chinook salmon), 461 nucleotides. NCBI's taxonomy places the organism in Eukaryota, Metazoa, Chordata, Actinopteri, Salmoniformes, Salmonidae. The record is from Ensembl.
CAGAGGGAGCUGUUCAACAACCCAUCAUCCCUUACAGACUGGACCAGCCACUAACAGUGAGCUCUGUUCAACAACCCAUCAUCCCUUACAGACUGGACCAGCCACCAACAGAGGGAGCUGUUCAACAACCCAUCAUCCCUUACAGACUGGACCAGCCACCAACAGAGGGAGCUGUUCAACAACCCAUCAUCCCAUACAGACUGGACCAGCCACUAACAGUGAGCUGUUCAACAACCCAUCAUCCCAUACAGACUGGACCAGCCACCAACAGAGGGAGCUGUUCAACAACCCAUCAUCAAACUGACUGGACCAGCCACCAACAGAGGGAGCUGUUCAACAACCCAUCAUCAAACUGACUGGACCAGUCACCAACAGAGGGAGCUGUUCUACAGCCCAUCAUCAAACUGACUGGACCAGCCACCAACAGAGGGAGCUGUUCAACAACCCAUCAUCCCAUACAG